Molecule: long non-coding RNA, 448 nt
Organism: Acomys russatus (golden spiny mouse)
Lineage: Eukaryota; Metazoa; Chordata; Mammalia; Rodentia; Muridae
Exons: 4
Source: RefSeq, a predicted model, not a curated record
CGGGAACCGUGGAGCCCAGGGCCACGAAGGCGUGAGCUGAAGUGCUUCUUCCCUCUCCUGCGGGGUCCCGAAGCUCCGGAGCUGACAGCACCUCCAGGAGCUACUACGACCCACCUGGCUCCUCCUCCUCCGAGGUUCCCCACAGGAGGAAAAGACUGAUGAAGCUUGAAGCACUGGGUUGGCCUGGGAGGACUGUGGUGACCUUGAGUACAAAUAAUGCAUUUCCCCAGUUUGUUCAUCAGCUCUUAAGGAAUGUUUCCAUUCUAAGAAAAUUGCUGCACACGAUGAAUUCAAGCCCGAGGUCCAGAGAUGUCACACGCCUGUCCAUUAAAGAUGUUGAGAUGCUGUCUCAAAGAGAUGUGUCUGGGAGAUGGAGCAGGGCACCUGCAGCCGACUUUGAGUGAGUGAAGAAAAUACUGGUUCAAGUGAGUGAGCUGGUAAGAUCUGG